Molecule: unclassified non-coding RNA, 3471 nt
Filed under: Haliotis rubra (blacklip abalone)
Lineage: Eukaryota; Metazoa; Mollusca; Gastropoda; Lepetellida; Haliotidae
Description: g protein-coupled receptor 137Ba-like, transcript variant X1
Source: RNAcentral
AUCAGCUGCUUCCGUCAGGAAAAGAUGGGCGGUACUUCAGAUAACUCGUUCAUGGAGUAUACUUGGGUGAUCAUGUAACAGCUUAUCGGAGGACAUGCUGUUCUUAUAAUGUCCGGUCAAGAGAGAAUAGCCAGGAUCUUUCCAAACGUGUUAUUGUCACAUUCUGAGGAUUCUGCAUCAGCUGUCAGUGACAAUCCAUAUCCAUUUGAUAUUCCGAUAACAAGCUUACCACGACUAAAACCUGCCCUCUCGCCGAGUGUGCAGUUAAGUCUGACAGUCGUAUACAUAUCAUUAUAUGGGCUACUGUUCUUCGUUGUGUAUAUCCAGUUAUGGAUGAUAUGGUACUACCGACACAAACGUUUUAGUUACCAGACAGUAUUCCUUUUCCUUUGUCUGAUUUGGUCCGGUUUGAGAACGACUUUAUUUUCAUUUUACGUCCAAGAUUGCGACCUGGCUAAUGACUUGCCAUGGGUAUUCUAUUGGUUGUUAUACUGCUGUCCUGUCUGCCUACAGUUUACAACGCUGUGCCUACUGGUUUUAUUUUUUGCACAGGUUGUUUUCAAGGCCAGAGCAAAGUAUGAACCAAGCAAAUUCAAACGUCCCCUUCGAAUCCUGGUCUUCCUGGCUAUAAUCGUGUUUGUGGUGUCCAAUAUAACAUGUGCCAUGGUCAUCAAAUACAGUGAGAGGAAUUACUCUUCCAUUCCACUGGAGCUCAUCUAUAUACGGGUGGCCAUCAAUGACUCCCUUUUUAUCAUUUUUGGUAUUGUACUUUCGUUCUGUAUUUACAAAAUGUCAAAAUUGUCCUCCUCAUCGCUGGUUCUGGAAGCCAAGGGGACAAGUAUGUGUCAGGCAAUCGCGGCCUGUGUUGUCAUCCUGAUGCUGUUUACAUCCAGAGCUAUCUACAACUUUAUCUCCAUCUACCCAGCCCUGAAGACCAAGGUUCCCGACUUCGGCUAUGACUGGGUCAAUGUAUCUGACCAGGCUGACUUCAAUGAUCUGUCUGGGGGAUAUGAGUACCUUUCUUUCGGAAUCGUGUUGUUCGUCUGGGAGGUCCUACCAACAUUUGUUGUUGUGUUGUUUUUUCGAGUCAAAAGAGCCGUCAAUGCUGUGGCACUGAACGAUCUCUCCAACCACAGCCAUAGUUCAAAGGUGUUUUUCUUUGAUAACCCUCGUCGCUAUGACAGUGAUGAUGAUCUCACUCGGGAUGAUCCACAUUCGGUCAAUUACAGUGUACACAACUCUACCAACAGUAUUGACAAUGGAGGCAUCUCGCGUGGUACUCCCAUCCUCACCCCGAAUGGGAGGCUCACACCGAGGGGUGGCACACCCAGAGGCACCCCCAGGACGGCAUAUGGGUCCAUAAUGAGUAGAAGUAUGGCCUCUAGUCGCCUGGGGACAUCACCCUCACCAAUCAUGUACAACGGGCCCCAGUUGUAUCAGUGACAUAAUGGCUGAUGGUGGUAGGAUGGUGAUUCAUGUGAUAUGACUUGCUGGUGCUGUGAUGAAGAAUGUACACUUUGUCAAAAUGGUUCAGUGGGAAGGGGAAGUGAAAGACUUAGUUGAUGCUUUCAGAGAAUGUGCUUUAUGAGCAUGGUUGACCCAAGGUCAAGGAUAUCAGUGUCAAAGGGUAACCAGUGACACUUCCCGUGGAUACAGAAAUGUGAUUUCCGCUGACAUCAUUGUCCCUGGACGAAGAGAAGUUUAUGUAUAUAACCAUAUUUUGAUAUGCAUUUUCAUUGACUUACCAUAUUCAUUGUAAUAAGUGCCCUGGGUACUUAGAAAACUCACAAGGGGCUCUUCUUAAAAAACAACUAAAACUUUUGAGUUACUCGUCAGUUAAUAACCCUUUCUUGUUGUUUCCUAUAAUAAUGUAAUCUGCACAAAAAUAUGGACUGACAGAUACUUUUGUUUGUCUAAGUAUAUGAGAUCAUGCAAGUAUUUGUAUAUAGUGUGGAUAAAGUGUUUAAUAAGGGAACCUAAUAUUUUGAGUAAGUUAACGUCUUACACCUUGUGAUAUAUGUAAUAAAGGUUGUAUCGUCACCACAGAUGUAACAUGACAUGACUCUUUCAUGAGGAUACUGAUGGGAGUUUGGACAGGUACACUACAUGUUCAGUGUAAAAGUGUCAUCGAUAAGUCAUGCAGUUUGUGAAGAAUCAUCUGAUCACUGUUGAAACAAGGAAAAUAUGUAUUUUGCUAAGAGAUGAAAUUGUGAUAGGAGCCCCCGCAGUGUAUAAUUCUUGCUAUAAGUUAUACAGAGAAGCUAUGAUUGGGCAGCCCCUGAAAUGUUAAAUCCUUGCUAUAAGAUAUACAGUGAAAUAUACAUUAGAUUUAAGCCAACACAAAAGGUACGUGUCUGUCUCUUCAGUUGAUGAAUUUACAUAGAACUUAAGCAUACCGUUUAUUGAGUACUGCUUGUAAAUACAAAUGUACAACAAAACAGGGUUUUCCUGUAACACUUGUGAGAUUUAAUUGAUGGGAUAGUAUCAUUACAAAUGACAUAAUAGUUUUAUAUCCAAAGACACAUAUUUAUAUAUAUUAAUAUCUUUGAUACUAUGAAUUGUGUAUGCAAUCAUAUUUAUUGUCAGUGCAGAUUAUCCAAAAGAAAUAUCAUCCAUUCUAUAAUGUGGCAUAAUUUUUUUAUCAAAUAUUUAAUUAUGUUUAUUGUUAAUGCAGUGCUUUUAUUACAUAUUAGCUGUUCUGAAAGUUGUUAUCGAAAAAUUACUUCCUUGUAAGGAAGACAGUUUCACGGGGUUAGUCACAUACAACAAUUCAUUAUAUCUUGGGAAACAGGAUGUUUCUGCCUCUACAUCAUGUAUUAUUCAAACCAACUGUAGAACAACAGACAAGAUGGCUGCUUUUUGUUAUUCUGUUUAUCUGUUACAUCAAAGCUGAAGUACAGAAUCUGUGAAAGGAAUGACAAAAGCAGCUCUUUAAAAUGUGUUGCACAUUGUGUAUGGAUAUUUGUCAAUUGUUACAAUACCCCGGUAUAUCACCAAAUGAAUCAAUCAUGUGUUGGUACACAUCUUGUAUGUUCUAUCACCUAUAACAUUCCUUAGUGUAUAAUUGAUUACUAUGCUUGAAAAAGAAGGAUGUGUACCUCAGCUUGACGUAGUUUUACACAAAGUUUUUCAAAUUCAACUUUUGUCUGCUAGUUUGUGAAUAAAGUGUAAGAUGAAAAUCAUAUUAUUAACAGUUUAUUUCUAACCGUGCUUUAGUGCUGUACACAGAGGAAGUUUCCUCUUUGUGGGUUCACAUCCUGAACUAUUUUUGUGUUUGUUUGACAUGUACUUGAUGUGACCUUGAACUUUGCAUUGUUCAUUGUUUAUGUAAGUGAGAUGCCUAUUGCUGUACAAAUACUCAUAUUUUGUUGACGAUGUUGUUUUACAGAUAAAGACACUAAUUUAUCAUUCCAUGGUUUAUUUUUUGUCACUGUUUGUCUACUAACAUGCAUGUUUGUGCAAAUAUUCUUA